GAUGAAGAACGCAGCGAAAUGCGAUAAGUAAUGCGAAUUGCAGAAUCCGUGAGUCAUCGAAUCUUUGAACGCACAUUGCGCCCUCUGGUAUUCCGGGGGGCAUGCCUGUUCGAGCGUCAUUUCACCACUCAAGCCUCGCUUGGUAUUGGGCAACGCGGUCCGCCGCGUGCCUCAAAUCGACCGGCUGGGUCUUCUGUCCCCUAAGCGUUGUGGAAACUUUCGCUAAAGGGUGUUCGGGAGGCUACGCCGUAAAACAACCCCAUUUCUAAGGUUGACCUCGGAUCAGGUAGGGAUACCCGCUGAACUUAAGCAUAUCAAUAAGCGGAGGA
RNAcentral lists this unclassified non-coding RNA (329 nucleotides) under soil metagenome. Its description in RNAcentral is "partial contains 5.8S ribosomal RNA, internal transcribed spacer 2, and large subunit ribosomal RNA". The stretch from base 1 to 119 matches the Rfam family "5.8S ribosomal RNA", at positions 35 to 154 of the family's 154-position model. The record is from RNAcentral.